Molecule: long non-coding RNA, 277 nt
Organism: Manis javanica (Malayan pangolin)
Lineage: Eukaryota; Metazoa; Chordata; Mammalia; Pholidota; Manidae
Source: RefSeq, a predicted model, not a curated record
UCAGGAUGUCUUGGAAACCUCGAGAAGAGAGGAAUUCACCCAAAUCUACAGGUUUCUCCAUAACCUAGAUGACCCGGGUCACCACCAACCAGAUGUUACUUCACCGUUAUGCACCUCAGGAUGUCUUGGAAACCUCGAGAAGAGAGGAAUUCACCCAAAUCUGCAGGUACCACAUCCUUUCUAGUGAGAAGGUCAGAAUUAAAAAGAAGGUAAUGAUGACUGAUAGAAUCCAGACCUGAGUACCGCCUUUUGAGUAAGCUCACCCACCAUCACAGAG